CCAGGACAUGGCCACUACAGUAUCUGGGUCACCACAGCUGCCUUGCCCAGGUUCCCUUUUAUAGACCAACCCAAAAGGAAGGAUGAACAGCUGGGUGGGUCGUCAUUAUAACCCAGACCGGUGUGUUCAUAGCUAGCCGUCAACCUCUCCACCAAGGGAGCACACUGGUUGCUGUGUGUGUCUACUCUUUCAAAGCAAACACUGCCUGGGUCACUGUAACAGCAGCCUGCCCCUGUCCCUGCAGAGGAAGGUGUUCCGUCAGUGUAACAGGAGAAAGCUGAAAAUCAACCGCACGUGCAAGACAUGCCAGGCACUGAUGUCCAGUGUGGAGGAGAUCGGAAUUCCUAUCAUGAGGGAGACACACAACCGCACCACACCCUCACCGGACGCCAGCAAGCUAUUGCCAUCCUGUAGUCGCCACACCUCCAGCAGGGAGUUCUCCAGGCACACGCCAGCAUUGCCGCCAAGGACUUCACACUG
Molecule: long non-coding RNA, 480 nt
Organism: Eriocheir sinensis (Chinese mitten crab)
Lineage: Eukaryota; Metazoa; Arthropoda; Malacostraca; Decapoda; Varunidae
Exons: 4
Source: RefSeq, a predicted model, not a curated record